RNAcentral lists this ribosomal RNA (255 nucleotides) under Salmonella enterica subsp. enterica serovar Amager. Its description in RNAcentral is "partial 23S ribosomal RNA". It matches the Rfam family "Bacterial large subunit ribosomal RNA", at positions 1438 to 1693 of the family's 2925-position model. The record is from RNAcentral. Lineage: Bacteria; Pseudomonadati; Pseudomonadota; Gammaproteobacteria; Enterobacterales; Enterobacteriaceae.
CCCGUACUUGGUGUUACUGCGAAGGGGGGACGGAGAAGGCUAUGUUGGCCGGGCGACGGUUGUCCCGGUUUAAGCGUGUAGGUGUGUGUUCAAGGUAAAUCCGGUUCACUUUAACACUGAGGCGUGACGACGAGGCACUACGGUGCUGAAGCAACAAAUGCCCUGCUUCCAGGAAAAGCCUCUAAGCAUCAGGUAACAUCAAAUCGUACCCCAAACCGACACAGGUGGUCAGGUAGAGAAUACCAAGGCGCUUGA